UUUGUACUGCACGCAUUGGGCAUCUAGCCCUUGCUUAGGAGCGAAGGCGGGCAUCUAUCCACGCGCUCCUCUUCUCCUUUUCUCCACGCGAUCCCUCUCUAUCACGCGCCGCCACCGCCCUCUCCCUUCUCAUAGCCGCCACCUCUCUCUCUCCUUGCACCGCAUCCUCUCCGCCUUGAUCCACCCGGAGGACGACGCCUGGAGAUCAGCGAUGGGCCCCUCCUUCUCCCAGCAGGUUCGUUUCCCCUCAGAGGACGAAAUCCAUGGGGAACAUGACCGGCAGGGUGGAGGCGGAGGAUGCGGCGGUGGCAUUGAAGGCGAAGACGCCGUCGUCGAGGAUGGAGGCAGGAACUCGUCGAUCUGGUUUGCACUUUGCACACGCGGUCAGCAUACUGACCGCCAGCGCCGUCGUUGGAGGUGAGGGUCAUUGUGGGCGUGCAGUGGCGAUGCGCAACUAUGCCUCGCACGGGUGGCACUGCUUCGACUUCUAUCCAGAGUUCCAGACAUAGGUAUGUGCCUGUGGAGGUUCGAUUGAUGAUUUGAUCUGGUUGGUUCGCUCAAAUCAUAAAAUUACAAGGGCCACGAUCCGGAGAUCAAGUUAAGCUGAGCACUCACAAACUGCUCCCUUUUGUUCAGUAGCGAAUAUGUUUCAUACACAAGUGGCUGCAUAUUGGUUUACUUAGAUUUUAUACAUGAUCAAUGUCUGAUUGAUUAUUAGUGGAUUUAUCUUGUCCAUUCGGUGGAUGGAUGGCGCCAGUUGAUUUAUGUUGAGCAGUAAUCAUAUCCCUGAUGAUGCUCUUUUGCAGGGACCGCACUUCUCGCUGGGUCACGGUUUCUUCGUAUGCAGAGUCGUUGCCUCUCGCCUGUUAGGUCAGUCUAUGGUGCUGAGCUUGUAAUGAGCAUCAGGAAGUUUGAGAUUGCCCUGGAGCAGCAAGCAGGUUGUGUCAAUUUGUCUUAGAGUUUAGGAAAGAGAAUUUCUACAAUUAAAGGUGUAUUAGUGUCAACCAUGUUCGAUUUUUUUCUUAAGCUCUUCCUAAGAAUCGUCUGCAUAUUUAUAAGGACUUGUUAGGGCAAUCCACGAUUUACUUCAGAAUUACGUUUCUCUUCUUGGAUAUUUUCAGUUCUGCUAUAAAACUGACUGAAGGGAGUAUCAAAAAUAAAGUUAUUUGGUUAGCCAUUUCGUGACUGCGGGAAAUACCUCAAACUUUUGGAGGCUCUUGUUUCUGUGUAUGAAGGUUUCGACAAAAAUCCUUCAUGUUUCCUUGUUAAUUCUGCUUGUAAAAAUUGCUGAUGUUUUCCCUUGUAUCUUUGAGUUUCUUUUCCCUUCAAAUAUCUUGUCUCGUCGUUGGUCGAAUCCAUUCUAGAUGCGACUGAAAGCAUGACGUGUGGAGAAAGACAGGUCUGUCGUGGCCACCUAAUGUAGCAGCCUCGCCUGACUCAGCCUGCCUAAUAUUUCUUCGCUCUGGUUUUUUUCACUUUCUUGUUUUCUUGAUUUUUUGGUUCUGUUUAUUAAUUAGCUUUUGUCACCUGUUUCUUCCAUUUUUCAGUCAGAAACCAAUAGUACAACUCAAAUUGUCAAGAUUUUUGUUUAAUCCUUUAGACUCGAUUUAUCCUGCUUCAGUUUGGUUUGCCUGCCCUUUCAGCAUUCAUUUCGAGAAAACGCAAUAGACUAUUGCGUUUCAUUGCAUUGAAAAGGUAGAGUUUAAAUUUACAAGCCUCCUAGGAAGCCACCAGCGAGCCAAAAGAAGAAGGAAAACAAAUCAGUGUACAUCCCAGGUUGUUGGCCAAACAUCCCUUAGGCCCUUGGCCCCAGCGGUAGCCCACAGCCUGGCCUCAUCCUUGAUCUUGUGAAGCAAGUUUUGCACAGAAGGUGUCGCCCUAUCGAAGACGCACUUAAAUUAUGAGUACAUAUCCUGACUUAGUGUGAUUAAAUCUCUUUGUUUUAUACCCUAAUAAUUCGUUGUAACUGGGAGCUGUGCCUUUUUCCAACAUCUCUUUGUUUUACCCUUUUUACAGAACUAUGACAUGCUGAUCGUUGAGGAUGGGAUGGUGUACCAGAAAUAAAUGGAAAUAUUGUGAAGAAGAGAUCUACGGGAACCCUGAGGGAACAUGAUUCUCUAUUUCUUAUCAUGAGAAACGAAAUGGCUUCAAUAGAUGCAGAACAAUCAUUGCAGCAGGUAGCAACGGUUGUACCAUGUUAUUUCUUCUGGGAGAUAAAUACUGCUGACUGUGGUUUAGAUCACCCUCUGUGGCUUUGCAUGACGAAGUUUUUCAAUUUGUAAAGUAAUGCCUUCAUAUAGUGAAAGAUGAUUGCUUAGCUUU
Lolium perenne is the source of this 2322-nucleotide RNA transcript. RefSeq lists it as uncharacterized. The record is from RefSeq and is a predicted model, not a curated record. Lineage: Eukaryota; Viridiplantae; Streptophyta; Magnoliopsida; Poales; Poaceae.